This 139-nucleotide small nuclear RNA is filed under the name Mustela putorius furo (domestic ferret). Its description in RNAcentral is "U4 spliceosomal RNA". The stretch from base 1 to 106 matches the Rfam family "U4 spliceosomal RNA". Rfam says of the family: U4 small nuclear RNA (U4 snRNA) is a component of the major U2-dependent spliceosome. The structure of U4 snRNA from yeast and human has been reported. Lineage: Eukaryota; Metazoa; Chordata; Mammalia; Carnivora; Mustelidae. The record is from Rfam by way of RNAcentral.
AGCUUUGCGCAGUGGCAGUAUCGUAGCCAAUGAGGUUUAUCCGAGGCGCGAUUAUUGCUAAUUGAAAACUUUUCCCAUACCACAUCUCAGAUGAACAUUUAGAUGUGACCACUUAACUUUUAAUUACUAUUUUUCAAUU